UAAUUUCAUAGCAACGCUUGGAAAAUUAACUAGAAUCACAUGUGAUUAUCCUAAGUGCCUUAAAUCAAUUAUUCAAGACCAUGGGAGAGUUUACGGCCGUAAACUCCUUGUUUACAGCCAUGAACUCCCUUAAACAUGGUCUAAGUCCCAUAAAUUUAUUCCAAGGCAUUUUAGAAGUCCAUUCCAACAAUUCCUAAGUCCAAACAAGCCAUUAAGCACUCAAAAUCACACCAACAUGAGUUCACGGCCGUGAACUCAUGUAUGUAUGUGUUUCAUGGUUGUAAAAUCCCUAAAAUGUUUGCUCUUGGGGUGUAAACUCAAAUCCCAAGUCCCUAGUACCAUUACACGUCCGUAGAUGUCACCCGGGUCACUCCAAACACUCGUUUUGAGNUUAACUAGAAUCACAUGUGAUUGUCCUAAGUGCCUUAAAUCAAUUAUUCAAGACCAUGGGAGAGUUUACGGCUGUAAACUCCAAGUUUACAGCCAUGAACUCCCUUAAACAUGGUAAUCAGGCCCCGAACCGACGUUUAGUGUCCGAAAUCGUCGCAUUUCCGAGUCCGGUGAGUUCAUACCCCUACCCUUUUUCGGUAUUUUCAAUGGUUUUUCAAUGUUUUCAGAAGGGGGGGGGGGAAUACAAGCAACAAGUACAAGUGUAUUUUGUACUUAAACUGAUUUUCAACUCAAUGGUUUUACUUACUAAAUGUCUUGAUUUCCAAAGAUUUUUGAUAACUGACAUUUCGAAUUGCAAGUUAAACAUAGAUUUCUUUUAAAAGUGUUAUAACUACAUUCUCUUUGAAUAAGAAAUCAUACUAAUCAUAUUUAAGAUUAACGAAUGUAACCUAGUACGAAUACGAAUACGAAUGUAACCUAGUACGAAUACAAAUACGAAUGUAACCUAGUACGAAUACGAAUAUGAAUGUAACCUAGUACGAAUACGAAUACGAAUGUAAUCUAGU
Molecule: long non-coding RNA, 956 nt
Filed under: Lactuca sativa (garden lettuce)
Lineage: Eukaryota; Viridiplantae; Streptophyta; Magnoliopsida; Asterales; Asteraceae
Description: long non-coding RNA (LSAT_LNC009969)
Source: RNAcentral